RNA transcript from Scylla paramamosain (green mud crab), 7921 nucleotides. It is a transcript of the gene named hemicentin-2-like, with no coding region annotated. Lineage: Eukaryota; Metazoa; Arthropoda; Malacostraca; Decapoda; Portunidae. The record is from RefSeq and is a predicted model, not a curated record. The transcript has 11 exons.
CCCAGGGAGGAAGGAGGUGUUACGUCUCUGCUCCUCUCGCCUCCUCUCACUAAAAGUCUGACUGGCGAGUGUGUGUGUGUGUGUGUGUGUGUGCGUCGCGCUCAGACACCGUGCAGUGCUUACCUGGUGAAGUGAUGGGAAGUGACUACCUGUUUACCUUAAUGAACUCUGGUGAGGUGAAAAAGGUAGUUGGGUAAUUAGAACUGCAUUAACUUUGAGAAUUUUGACUGAUGAAUGGAAGUACUUAAAAUCAGCUACCUUUUAAUGAUUAGUACUGUGGGAAAGGUAGACAGAUGACUGGAACCACUGAAGUAAUUGCGUGAUACCUGUUCUCACCUUGAAUAAAUCUGUAAAAAAGGUAGACUGAGGGUUAAAACGACCUUAACGUAGGUGUACCUUGAAAAAUAGAGGUGGACUGAUUAAUGAAACUCCUACCUGCUUAUCUUAAUGAUCUGGUACUGUAAAAAAAAAAAAAGGUACUUGAAUCAUAAUAACUAACUUAAUUGUAUUUGAAUAAGGUGAACUAAUAAGUGGAGUGCUUAAAAUCCACCUUAAUUGAAGGAGAACUCUGUUAAAAAGGUGGCUAUAUAAUUAGAACCACUUCAACUUAAUGGCAUAUGAAAAGGUGAGCAGAUGAAUGAAAUGUGAUUAAAAACGACUACCUUUUCUUCCCUUUAAUGAACUAUAUUACCGUAGAAAACAAGUGAAAGUGUAAAUCUAUCACCUGUUCGUACCUUAAUUGAGGGAGGAUACACAGAAAGGUAGAUUGACAAUUAGAGCCACUUUAAUUGUAUUUGAAAAAGGUGGGCAUAAAUGGAAAGUACUAAAAACAAUCUCUUCUUACAUUAAUGAACUGUAGAAGGUAGAUUGCUGAUUAGAACUACCUUAGAACUACCUUAGAACUACCUUAACUUAAUCGUACUUGAAAAAGGUGAACUAAUGAGUGAAAAUUAAGAAUAUCACCUGUUUUUACCUGAACUGAAAGGGGUCACUGAGAUUUAUUGAUGACUUAACGCACCUUAACGUAAUUACUCUUAGAAAGAUUAAUUGAGUUAUAUCCUUACUUCAACAACCCCUAAGAUCGAAAAGGCUAGAGGGACAAAUUGAACGGCAUUUUACCUUAACUUGUACUACUAAAACAGUGAAGGGGUGUGCGGGAACUGACCUUAAUGAUACUAGUAAGGUGAAUAUAGGUGAAAAGAUACGCUUUACUAAAAAUAAAUAGAGCAGAAACUAAAUUAAUCUAAUGAAAAAGGUUAAUGUAGGUGAACAAAAACUUACCUUUACUAAUGAAAAAGAGGAACCCAAAAGUCAAUAGAGGAAAAAGAACAGUGGACAGAGACUAACUUAACGAAUCCAAUUAAAAGGUUAAUGUAGAUGAACAGAAGUGUACCUUACCUUACCUGUACUAAUGAAAAAAGGUAGCCAAAAUUAAGUAGAGGAAAAGAAUAGAGGGCAGACACUAAUUUAACGAAUCUAAUUAAAAGGUAAAUACAAAAAACGUAACAAAACUAAAUUAGACGAACCCAAAAAGUUAAUAGUGAACAGAAAGUUAACGAAUCUUAUGAAAAGGUAAAUAUAGAAACAAAAACGUAAGAAAAGAAAAAACGAACCAAAAAAAAAAAAAGUGAACAGAAACUUGACGAAUAUAAUAAAAGUGUAAAUAUAGACGAACAGAAAACGCACCUUGUCUUAAUUGUAGUAUUGAAAAAUUGAUAGAAGGUUAAUAGAGGAACAAGAAUAGUGAACAGAAACUAAUGAAAGGCAAGAGAUGAACUGAAACUUACCUUGAACUUUGAUAAUACUAAUGAAAAGGUAACGAAAGAUCGAGACAAACUUGCUUACCUUAAUUUAACUAUAUCAGUGAAAAUGCGAUACGUAAUAAAAUAGUUAAAGAAAAGAUUAGAAACAAAUAAUCAACUUUAUCUGAAAUUAACUGAAAAAGGUGACGAGAGAUAAAAAAAAAACAAUAGAAAAAAAUAAAUAAAAGAAAGAAAAGAAAGCAGGAUUUGAAAGAACUGCAUACAUCUUACCUGAACCUCACCUGGAAAUUAAUUAAAAGCGACACCUAACCAAAAAAGUACUCAAGAUAACAGAUUUUUUUUUUUUUUUUUUUCCCAGAGAGGAGUGUUCGUCUCAAAUUCGUCUCAAAGGUGGAAUAUCACGAAUUCAUGAAGGUUUUGUUUUGUGUGCUUUUGUGUACGUGUGUCGCUCAGGUGAAAGUUAAUUAAGUUUCGUGUGAGGACUAACCUGGGUGGGCAUCGAACCCUGAAAUCCCACGUUAAGAGGCAAAACUUUCACCACCACCACCACCACCACCACCACUGUCUGCCCCUUCUCACCUCAGCCAGUUAACGUCCCCCAGGAGUACCGCCCCCUCAGCGUCACCCUUUCAUCACCCCCACACUGCCCUUCUCACCUUCCGGGUCUCCCCCCCCCCCUCACCUGCCUUUCCGCCUACAGGUGCUACACAGGUGUGUGUGUGUUUACCUGCGUGCAACACCUGUACCUACCCUGGCAACACUGCUUCCCCCUGGACUGUAAUCGCCAUGAUGGGCCGCAGACGUGUCCUAGACGUGUUUCCCUCACUGCUGCUGCUUCUGCUCUCCGUGGUCUCCGCUGCGCCUUCUACAGCAGGUGACAGCAGCGGCAGCAGGCACCCACGCUGGGCCACCACCUCCUUAUUACGAGCAGGCAACCACUAUCACCACCACCACCACCACCACCACAGCCACCACCACCAUGUCUCCAGGUUCUCGCUCUCAUCCUUCAGCGCCUCUAGGAACUCCAUUCACUCCUUCAGAAACAACAGUGUGGCCAACCUUACGGCGCAGCUCGGAGGGACGGCCUUUCUCCCCUGCAGGACAACCUAUGUCAUGGAGCGACAGCUCCUGCCGCAGGUUUCAUGGGUAAGACGAAGGGACUGGCACAUCCUCACCUCUGGCACCCUCACCUACACACGGGAGGAGCGCUUCUCUGUUCACCAUCCAGAGGGCAGCACUGAGUGGACGCUGGCGAUUAAGUACGUUCAGUUAGCUGAUGCGGGCACAUAUGAGUGUCAGGUGUCCACGGCGGAGGGCCUGGCAUCUCACCUGGUAGCGCUGGAGGUGGUGGUGCCCCGUGCUGUCAUCCCAGGGCAGGAGGAGCACCACGUGGAGGCGGGGUCAACCAUCUCCCUCACCUGCUUCAUUGAACAGAGUCCCGUGGCGCCGCAGUACAUCUUCUGGUACCACAACGCGCGCAUGAUCAACUACGACCGGGAAAGAGGCGGCGUCACGGUGCACAUCGAGGCCCAGCCCAAGGUCGCCUCGCUCCUCAGGGUGCGUGACGCGCGGCCCGAGGACUCCGGCAACUACACCUGCGCCGCGGCCAACACUGAGUCUGCCUCCGUCACUGUGUACAUCACGGAGGCUGCUAACAAGAUCGCAGCGGUGCAGCCUCGCGCGCCGGACAGCAGCGCAGCCCCAGUGCUUUCCCUGCCCCUACUGCUAACGCUGCUGGUCCUCGCCCCGCUGCUACGCUACCUCUCAGAACUUUGAACAUACGCACUCACACACUCUCUCACACGCUCCCUCACACCUCUCUCACUCCUACGCCUUCCAGUGUGACAAGUUGAUGGAUUGCUGGGUUGGACAGAUUCAGGGCUUCACUCCAGUAAGCCAGCGCCCUCCAUGCCAGUCCCUCUAUGCCUCCCCGGGUUCCUAUUUUAAAGUCCUACGGAAAUAUCAAGAUUUGUUUCAUAGGUCACUCCUGCCUUCCUGUGUGACAUGGGAGGCGUCACGUGGUCCUGGGACGAGAGGUCAAAGUCACAGGAGGUCACGUGCUGCGCGGCUGGUCUGCGCAGUAACUCACACCGUCCAGGACCCAACUUUUCUGGUCUUGGCCCGACUUACAGUAGUCCCCCUUAGUAAAUCUUCAUAGAAAACGGCGAGGCUGGAAGGGAGAACAUCUGUAAAAGAGUUAAUGUUACUCAGUUUUAAAGGAAAUGAUAAGGGUCUAUUUUGAAAGGCUGUUUUCUCCCUUUGUGACUGUUUUUCAGAGGCCACGUGAAUAAGUCAGGCUCUAUUGGGUGUUUUUCCAUGUUUAACCAUCACCGGGCGCCGGUGAAAGAAUUAACAUGACUGAGUUUCAAGGGAGAUAAUAAGAGUUUGUAUAUUGACACGCUACUCUCUGUUUUCCGAAGGCCACACGGAUGGUAUGCCAGGCUUUUCUAUCUAUCAGUAGUGCAGACUCCGUGUUAAGCCCCAGUGUCUGUUGAAAGCAGUCGAGAUGGGACGCCAAAACGUUUGAGAACACUGUCACCAGUUUCGCACUGAACAAACCACUCUCUAGUGCAGGGGUCCGCAACCUGGGGUGCGCGUGCUCCCAGGCGUCCGUGAGAGACAUUUUGGGGCACGUGACAGGUCUGUGAUAGUGCCUGGACUGACCCAUGCAUUCACAGACUGUUGUUGAAGUUGUUGUCAUUACGCGCGGUACUGAAAGAAAGUUGGAGGAUAGAAUAAAUAAAGGAAAAAGGCUAUGAAGAUUGCAAUGGGGAAGGAACUUUUAAUGACAGAUUUUAUAUACUGAUAGAUUUAUGAGGGUAAUUUUCUGUCAUCACGCACCGAUAAAUUUGUGGAUUUCUUGUUAUUUACUGAUGAAUUCGUGGAUGCAGGUGUUAUGUUCAGACUGCAUCCUGGUGCAUUCUGGGUAAGGGGCACAUAAUCAGUAAUGAAAGACUGAAGGGGUACAAGAUUAUAAAGGAUAUACUGAAAAUCUUAAGGGGUACGAGAUUAAAAGGUUAUACUGAAAGACUUAAAGGGCUACAAGAUUAAAAGGUUAUACUGAAAGGCAUAAGGAGUACGAGAUUAAAAAGAUUACACUGGAAAACUUUAGAGAUACAAGAUUAAAAGGUUAUACUGAAAGACUUUAAGGGUAUAAGAUUAAAAAGGUUGAGGACCCCUGCUCUAGUAUGAAUGUUCAGCCUUGGAAACUUCAAUGAAUAUAUCAGGACCACAGAUAAGAUACAUCAUGUUCAUUGUAAGUAAAUAUGAUCUUCACCUCCAGGAAGGAAGUAAACUGCAGCUGCUUGUAUUUUCUCCUGAAGCAGUUUACCCUUCCGUGUGUGAAGGCAGGAGUUGGUGUCUGAGGCGUGCUAACCUUUGUUCUCAUGUCUCGCUUUUUUAUUCACUAUUUUUCGUUACUUAUUUACAGUUAUUUAUUUUUUGAAUUUUUCUAGCAAAUUACCUGUAUUAUUAUUAUUAUUAUUAUCAUUAUUAUUAUUAUUCCCUCUAUACUCGUCUGUUUUCUUUUUUUUCCAUUUAUUUAUUCAUAUAACAGACUUUUCUCGAUAUUAUUCCCUCUAUCCAUUUUUCUUUUUUUUUAUUUUUAUUUUCAGAUUAUUAAGUUAUCAAGCUAUUUUUUUUUUCCAGAUUCUUAUUCGUUAUCAUUCAUUCAUCAUUCUAUUUAUUUUUCCAGAUUGUUAUGAAAAAAAAAAAAUCACAUCAUGUUAAAUAUAUUCACUCCGGAACGACUGAUGUGCUGUACAUACGUUACUGCAUACUUAAAGUUACACUGUCUCUGUGAACUGUAUACAUGUAAGUGCGUCUGUAUUUUGUGACUGGUAAAUAGAUUAUAUAUUUUUUAUAAAGGUUAUUAUAUAAAUACUGAUCCAUAAUCAUUGUAAGGAAGUGUUUCAAUGUGGAUGCCUAAAAUACUUUCCUUUUUUAUUUAACUUUUCUUUUACCUACAUGCCACAAUGUGCCCGAUUUCACAGCUGUCUGGUAAUAUACAUAGACAAAAGCUGUACUUACUGCCAUUACCAACACCUGGAUCUGAUUUCACAGUCGUUUUCAUGGUUUCGGUAAUCCCCAUCGUAACGAAUAUAACAAAACGAAAGUCUUUGGUUCCGUAAUGUUAGCACUGGUUUGGUGGUGGUGGUGGUGGUGGUGGUGAUCACUCACUGGGAACAAUCACAACAGGAAGCGACUGUGACAUCAGUUCUUAGUAAUGAUGGAACACAGGAAGCCUCAAUGGUGGAGCCGCUGAAAGGACGGAACUUUCCAUUUUUUUUUUUUUCUAUUUUGCACGUUUUUGUUUGUUUAUGCAUUUGUUUGAACAAUAGUGUCAUCAAGGACUGUCGUUAAGGAGGAGGAUUAUUUUAUUGUUUCUUUAUUUUACAUUUAUUUCAUAUUUAUUUAAUUUGUUUAGUUGCAGGGAUGUAUUUUCUUCUAGUAUACUUAAGAGAGAACGCUCUGAUAGCAGGAGGUGCCUCAUCUUUAUUACUUUGUUUCUUAUGUUUACAUUUAUUUAUUUAAUUAAUUGACUUAGUUGUAGAUAUGAGCCGGCCUGCUAUUCUUACCAGAGAACACCGUAAUAACAAGAGGAAGUGCCGUUGAGAAGACACAUGUUUCUAUUACUUUUUAGUUUUUCUUUAUUUUUUACACAUUUUCAUUUUAGUUUACAUACGUUUAAUUAACUUUUAGUUGUAGAUAUAUACUUCCCUUUAUAUUGGAGAGAACACGGUAGAAAGAUGAACAUGUGCCGUGCCGUUCAUCGUCAGGGCAUCUUACUCAGGCAGCUUAGCGUAAGUACAACCCUCGUCUUUUUGAAGGACGUAUUCUGAAACGCUUUGCUAUUUUCAAAGGCCUCAGAGAUGAAUAGCCGGGUUCUGAAGACUAUUUCUACUGUUUAUAAUGUACAAACUUUGUCACUAGAAGUAUAAAAACACCUUCAAAAACCCAUGUCACUUUAGUAACUAGAGUCUUUUGAAAGUAGUCGAGGCGCAGCCAGAAGUGUUUCAGAAUAUGCUCCGUGUUUCAGAAUAUACUCUUGCUGAAGCGUGCGUGUGAACUGUGACAUUAACCUAACGCUGUGCUCCUCCCCGACUUCCCGCCCUUCUCUACGAAAAAUAAAAUCCUUGCACUUUCCUGCCAAGAAAUUUGAAUAUGGAGUGUUGAAUGUGUGCUUGUGAAUGUAAUAGAAUCUUAUCAUCGCCUGUAGCAUAUUAUUAUUUCUUCAGCCCACGUCCAACCACCUCACCACUCAGGCGGGUUCCACUUCUCUGCAAUGGGGUGGGCGUGCGUGGUGAGGGCAAGGAAGGCAUGUAUGGGAUUUACGCAGAAUCCUUGCGCGGUGGUGAGGGGCGUAGUGAAAAGCAACGUAAAGUACUCAAUUGAAUAAUGUCCUUAAAAGGUAAUAGUGAGGAGGUGUUUCUCUUGUGAAAGGUAAUGGUAAGGUGUGUGUGUUUUUAUCAUCAUUAGUCAGUCAGGUUUAUAAAAUGCCAUUUGGUUUGCAGGUGUGUGAACGGCUCCAUGCUCCCAAUACAGGAUGGCUCCCACUGAUGCCAAGGCGGCUGCUGCGCAGUCACGUACAGCAGGUUUUAACUGUGUAGUAAUGAAUAAAAAAAAAAUAUGCCUUAUGCAUACUGUCAACGACUUAAGCACUGGAACGUAUAUAUAAAUUGUGCUUUGUAUAUAUUGUGCUUUCUGGCGGUGGUGGUUGCAUAUAUUGUGCUAUCUGGCGGUGGCGGCUGCAAGUAGAGCAUAGAGUAUGUGCAAGUAGAGCAUAUACGUAGAUAUGUCGGUGUCUUCCUCCACGGGUAUUGUUAAAGGGAAGUUUUACAGAACAGGUAGUUAGUUUUUACCGAGUUUCAAACGAUGUGAAUAUGGUGCAACAAUCAAUGAAAAAUUGUCUUUUCAUGAAGGGUACAAAGAAAAUCAUUUUAUACCUCAGUCUCUCCGGAGAAAUUGCAUUUAUACAUGUAAAACCGAGUUACCUCAGUCUCGAGAAAAUAUUGCCUUUAUUUUUACCUCAGAAUUAUAGUAUACAUCAGAAGUCUCCAGAGAAAACUUUUUUUCCGGAGAAAACGGUUUUUAUAUAUUUAUGAAAAGAAAAAUAUGAAGAACAUUUCCGUGUAAAGAUUUUUUUUUUUUUUUUUUUU